Molecule: ribosomal RNA, 253 nt
Filed under: uncultured bacterium
Lineage: Bacteria
Description: partial 16S ribosomal RNA
Rfam family: Bacterial small subunit ribosomal RNA
Source: RNAcentral
AACGUAGGACGCAAGCGUUAUCCGGAGCUACUGGGCGUAAAGCGCGGGCAGGCGGUCUUGCCAGUCUGAUGUGAAAUCUCCUCGCUCAACGGGGAGCAGCCAUUGGAAACUACAAGACUGGAGUCUGACAGAGGUAGGCGGAAUUCCGGGUGGAGUGGUGAAAUGCGUAGAGAUCCGGAGGAACACCAGAGGCGAAGGCGGCCUACUGGGUCAGUACUGACGCUGAGCCGCGAAAGCCAGGGGAGCGAACGGG